CCAAAAGUAAAUGAGAAACUUAGAGAAAGAUUGCCAAUCCCAAAUCAACACGCUUACAGAGAAUUGGAAAAGAAGAAGAUUUACGGCUUCAUUUGAGGACUUUUGUAAAGAACUCGGGUUCCAAUAUGAGCUCUAAAAUCUUGGAGCGAGAGCUGGGGGCAAUGCCAGAUCAAACAAGUUCAGGAAGACGACUGGAGGACUGGUUAAAAGGUCCGCCCCGUUGCCACCCGAAAGUGGAGAUUCCACAGGAAGAGCAAAAUCCUCAUCUGCCCGAGCAUGGAAAGCCGCUCCAGCCGCGUGAUGAACCUGUGGGCCCGGCAGAGUGUGAGAACGAGAGCCUUUGGGUACCAAGUCCGAAGAGCCUCCCGCCUGUGGGGGUGGAGCGGGCCCCUCUCGGUGACGUCGAGGACUAUGGUGCUCCUGAAGGACCCAGAGGAAGGACAUAUGGAGGCAGUAGUUGGGUAUAUGAUUUUAUGGGCCCUUCUCAGGUUACAGCAGACCGAGAUAAGGAGAAGACUGUCGCACUCCUAAAAGAAAUGGACAUUCUCCGAGCAAGCAAUAAAAAGCUUCGUGACCAGCUGGAAGAAAAGGAUGCAGAGCUGAAGACGGUACAACUUGAGCUGGAGCUCCUGGAACAAGCCACAGAAGCCAAGAUUGCCGAAAAAACAGCAGCUCUGGUUGAAGAGGUUUAUUUUGCUCAACGAGAACGUGAAGAAGCCGUCAUGGCCAGGCUGCGCUUAGCCAACGAGGAGAGAGACGAAGCCGUUUCACACGCAAAACAGCUAGAGAUGUCCCUUAAACAGCUAGAAAAUAUUAACCCUGAAGAAAAUGACAUGACAUUACAGGAAUUACUGAACAGAAUAAACAACGCAGGCACAGGAAUAGCGAUUCAGAAGAAUGGAGCUAUAAUUGUGGAUCAGAUAUACAAGACCAAGGAACUUCAAAAGAAAAUAACCACUGAAGAAUUGAACGCAGUGACAGAAGAGCGGGAUGCUGCUUUGUCUCAAUGCAAACGGCUGGAGCGGGAGCUUCAUCAUCUAAAAGAGCAGAACCAGACUUCAGCAAACAACAUGAGACAUCUGACUGCUGAAAACAAUCAAGAACGUGCUCUGAAGGCAAAACUGUCGACCAUGGAGCGAGCAAGAGAAAUGGCCAUUCAACAGUAUCAGAAACUAGAAGAAGAACUGCAGACACUCCGUGUUUAUUACAGCCUGCACGAGUCCUUAUCCCAAGAAGAAAGUCUCAAAGAUCAAUUAAAGCUUACCCUGAGUGCCUAUGACGAUGCACUGAAAAUCAGAGAGGACAUCAUCUCCCUCUCUCAGAAGCGGCAGGAGGAGCUGACCGCCCACCUUCAGGAAGCCCUGUCCGGUCGCACCGUGGCCGAAUCGAAGCUGCAGCAAGCGUUGGAGACCACCCGAGAGGCCAGUGAGAAAGUUAAAAAGCUGGAGAGGCUUGUGGACGUCCUGAGGAAGAAGAUUGGAGCCGGAACCGUUCGGACGGUGAUCUGAUCGAAAGUCGGCAGACUGGGAAGCGAUCACAUCUGGUGACCAGCCUGCUUCAUUCAACGCUGAGUAAACACGGAGCUUUAACUUAGCAAACAGUUGUUAGAAGUGGGACACUCCAACGACAUUCCAAGCUGAGAUAAAAUCAAAUCACAAAUGUUUAACCACUUUGCUGCUGACUUGGGUUAUUUAUCCAAAUGUAUUAAUGACCAAUUUCUCUGCAUGUGGAACAGACAGUGGCUGGAGUGGAGGAGAAUCUUGGAGGCUAUGGCAGGGUCGCUGAACGUCUUCACUGAGGAAGCAUUCAAGGUGGCGACGUCGUUGAUGUUUGCAUUUCUGCAGCCUGCCGUAAAUUGAAGAAGAGCUCAUGUAAGUGCUUAAGCAGGGUGUCCCCAACAUGCAGGGCCUCAUCUACAGCGGCAGGAUGAGUGUUUAGGAGAAUACUGAUGAGACGUCUCAUCUUAUGCUGUUGAGUCAUCGCUGAUCCAAAGUGACUCUGUGGACACACCUCUCCCAGAAUGCCCCAACUCCAUCUGCAGUCGU
Molecule: RNA transcript, 2045 nt
Organism: Tachyglossus aculeatus (Australian echidna)
Lineage: Eukaryota; Metazoa; Chordata; Mammalia; Monotremata; Tachyglossidae
Gene: MIPOL1
Gene name: mirror-image polydactyly 1
Exons: 13
Source: RefSeq, a predicted model, not a curated record